Molecule: long non-coding RNA, 342 nt
Filed under: Mytilus galloprovincialis (Mediterranean mussel)
Lineage: Eukaryota; Metazoa; Mollusca; Bivalvia; Mytilida; Mytilidae
Source: RNAcentral
GUCGAGGUAGUUUUUGAUGAAGCUGAAGUCCAAUCAACUUGAAACUUAAUUCACAUGUUCCCCAUGAUAUGAUCUUUCUCAUUUUAAUGCCAAAUUAUAGUUUUGACCCCAAUUUCAUGGUCCACUGAACAUAGAAAAUGAUAGUGCAAAGUUCAGGUUAAAGUUUUUGAUCAAGGUAGUUUUUGAUGAAGUUAAAGUUACAUCAACUUGAAACUUAGUACACAUGUUCCCUAUAAUAUGAUCUUUCUAAUUUUAAUUCCAAAUUAAAGUUUUGACCCUAAUUUCACGGUCCACUGAACAUAGAAAAUGAUAGUGGGAGUGGGGCAUCCGUGUACUAUGGAC